RNAcentral lists this ribosomal RNA (850 nucleotides) under Marasmius linderioides. RNAcentral's name for it is "LSU rRNA". It matches the Rfam family "Eukaryotic large subunit ribosomal RNA", at positions 68 to 908 of the family's 3401-position model. The record is from RNAcentral. Lineage: Eukaryota; Fungi; Basidiomycota; Agaricomycetes; Agaricales; Marasmiaceae.
UACAGGAUUCCCUAGUAACUGCGAGUGAAGAGGGAAAAGCUCAAAUUUAAAAUCUGGCAGUUUCACUGUCCGAGUUGUAAUUUAGAGAAGUGUUACCCGCGCUGGACCGUGUAUAAGUCUCCUGGAAUGGAGCGUCAUAGAGGGUGAGAAUCCCGUCUUUGACACGGACUACCAGGGCAUUGUGGUGCGCUCUCGAAGAGUCGAGUUGUUUGGGAAUGCAGCUCUAAAUGGGUGGUAAAUUCCAUCUAAAGCUAAAUAUUGGCGAGAGACCGAUAGCGAACAAGUACCGUGAGGGAAAGAUGAAAAGAACUUUGGAAAGAGAGUUAAACAGUACGUGAAAUUGCUGAAAGGGAAACGCUUGAAGUCAGUCGCGUUGGCCGGGGAUCAGCCUUGCUUUUGUGAGGUGUACUUCCUGGUUGACGGGUCAGCAUCAGUUUCGACCACUGGAAAAAGACUUGGGGAAUGUGGCACCUUCGGGUGUGUUAUAGCCUCUUGUUGUAUACAGUGGUUGGGACUGAGGAACUCAGCACGCCGCAAGGCCGGGUUUCGACCACGUUCGUGCUUAGGAUGCUGGCAAAAUGGCUUUAAGCGACCCGUCUUGAAACACGGACCAAGGAGUCUAACAUGCUUGCGAGUGUUUGGGUGGAAAACCCGAGCGCGUAAUGAAAGUGAAAGUUGGGAUCUCUGUCGUGGAGAGCACCGACGCCCGGACCUGAUGUUUACUGACGGAUCUGCGGUAGAGCACGUAUGUUGGGACCCGAAAGAUGGUGAACUAUGCCUGAAUAGGGCGAAGCCAGAGGAAACUCUGGUGGAGGCUCGUAGCGAUUCUGACGUGCAAAUCGAUCGUCGA